RNAcentral lists this ribosomal RNA (245 nucleotides) under uncultured Ralstonia sp. RNAcentral's name for it is "partial 16S ribosomal RNA". It matches the Rfam family "Bacterial small subunit ribosomal RNA", at positions 524 to 768 of the family's 1533-position model. The record is from RNAcentral. Lineage: Bacteria; Pseudomonadati; Pseudomonadota; Betaproteobacteria; Burkholderiales; Burkholderiaceae.
UACGUAGGGUGCAAGCGUUAAUCGGAAUUACUGGGCGUAAAGCGUGCGCAGGCGGUUGUGCAAGACCGAUGUGAAAUCCCCGGGCUUAACCUGGGAACUGCAUUGGUGACUGCACGGCUAGAGUGUGUCGGAGGGGGGUAGAAUUCCACGUGUAGCAGUGAAAUGCGUAGAUAUGUGGAGGAAUACCGAUGGCGAAGGCAGCCCCCUGGGAUAACACUGACGCUCAUGCACGAAAGCGUGGGGAG